AUAUCUCUCCGUACGGGAAGGAUGAGAAGCUUCGACUAAGGUUCGAUUCGAGCGCAGCGAGAACUGAGUCAUCCUUCCCCCACCACCA
This 88-nucleotide small RNA is filed under the name Salmonella enterica subsp. enterica serovar Typhimurium. RNAcentral's name for it is "RtT sRNA". It matches the Rfam family "RtT RNA". Rfam says of the family: This family represents a bacterial cis-regulatory element known as RtT RNA. The exact function of RtT is unknown although it is thought that it may be involved in changing the cellular response in relation to amino acid starvation. The record is from RNAcentral. Lineage: Bacteria; Pseudomonadati; Pseudomonadota; Gammaproteobacteria; Enterobacterales; Enterobacteriaceae.